UGGCUCAGUUGGUAGAGCAUGGUGUUUGCAACGCCAGGGUUGUGGGUUAGAUUCCCAC
Non-coding RNA from Salmo salar (Atlantic salmon), 58 nucleotides. The record is from Rfam. Lineage: Eukaryota; Metazoa; Chordata; Actinopteri; Salmoniformes; Salmonidae.